GAGGGUAUAGCUCAAGUGGUAGAGUGCAUGUUUAGCAUGCACAGGGUCCUGGGUUCAAUCCCCUGUACCUCCU
RNAcentral lists this transfer RNA (73 nucleotides) under Camelus bactrianus (Bactrian camel). It matches the Rfam family "tRNA". From Rfam's summary of the family: Transfer RNA (tRNA) molecules are approximately 80 nucleotides in length. Their secondary structure includes four short double-helical elements and three loops (D, anti-codon, and T loops). RNAcentral also lists the same sequence under 3 other names. Lineage: Eukaryota; Metazoa; Chordata; Mammalia; Artiodactyla; Camelidae. The record is from Rfam by way of RNAcentral.